Molecule: long non-coding RNA, 177 nt
Organism: Dermacentor silvarum
Lineage: Eukaryota; Metazoa; Arthropoda; Arachnida; Ixodida; Ixodidae
Exons: 3
Source: RefSeq, a predicted model, not a curated record
AUGCAGCCUUCCAGUAUACGCUUUUACCAGAAUUCUAGUAGUCAGCACCUCAAACAAGCUCGCUACUUGACCUAAACUUGCCCUCAAAUCCGAAGUCAAGGUACCUAUCAUGCUCAUGCCGGAUGUGUUGAGGCUGCAAGCGAGAUCCUUGGAACUCCUUGUUUUCCUUUUAAUAUU